Long non-coding RNA from Cyprinus carpio carpio, 620 nucleotides. The record is from Ensembl. Lineage: Eukaryota; Metazoa; Chordata; Actinopteri; Cypriniformes; Cyprinidae.
UAACACUGAGGUUUCCAGAUCAAAUGCAAACAAAAAGUAUUAGUUUUCAACAUUUGUAACCACCAUGGCGUCUUCUGGUAAGAGUGAAUGUGUCACAUAUGUCGCUAGGAACAGCUGUUUUCAAAAGUCUUAAGGGUGCAAACCCCUAAAAUAAAAAACUGUGGUGGUCAAUAGGAUUAAUCUCAUGAACCGUUUUUUUACAUUUGUUUUAUUUUAUUUUUCUGAGAAAUUUUCUGUCAAAUUAUAUCAAACAAUUUAAUUUAACAUAUUUAACAAAUUAAGAUUUACCUUUUCAAAUUGCAGAUUAUGGUUGAGGUCGUUACUUUGGUUUUGAUCAGACACCCUGUCCUUGCCCUGCAGCCCGAGGGCGCCCACAUCGCGCUGAACUCUGACCUUAUCAGGAACAACCAAGCAGCAGGGAUGAGAGGAGAAUGUAAAAUGAAAGCAGCUGUAUGCUGAGACGGAAACUUUGAGAGGAGAUGGCAAAAGGAGGGGGCGUUGAAUCUUCAUGAAUGAAAAGAGAAAAAGAAGAGCAGUGAGAAAUUAAGGUGUAUGUAAAUAAAUGGUGGUUGACUGUGCAAAAUAGUUUUUUGUUUUGUUUUUUUUUUUUGUUUUUUUUU